UGCAAGUCGAGCGGUAGAGAGAAGCUUGCUUCUCUUGAGAGCGGCGGACGGGUGAGUAAUGCCUAGGAAUCUGCCUGGUAGUGGGGGAUAACGUUCGGAAACGGACGCUAAUACCGCAUACGUCCUACGGGAGAAAGCAGGGGACCUUCGGGCCUUGCGCUAUCAGAUGAGCCUAGGUCGGAUUAGCUAGUUGGUGGGGUAAUGGCUCACCAAGGCGACGAUCCGUAACUGGUCUGAGAGGAUGAUCAGUCACACUGGAACUGAGACACGGUCCAGACUCCUACGGGAGGCAGCAGUGGGGAAUAUUGGACAAUGGGCGAAAGCCUGAUCCAGCCAUGCCGCGUGUGUGAAGAAGGUCUUCGGAUUGUAAAGCACUUUAAGUUGGGAGGAAGGGCAGUAAAUUAAUACUUUGCUGUUUUGACGUUACCGACAGAAUAAGCACCGGCUAACUCUGUGCCAGCAGCCGCGGUAAUACAGAGGGUGCAAGCGUUAAUCGGAAUUACUGGGCGUAAAGCGCGCGUAGGUGGUUAGUUAAGUUGGAUGUGAAAUCCCCGGGCUCAACCUGGGAACUGCAUUCAAAACUGACUGACUAGAGUAUGGUAGAGGGUGGUGGAAUUUCCUGUGUAGCGGUGAAAUGCGUAGAUAUAG
RNAcentral lists this ribosomal RNA (648 nucleotides) under uncultured Pseudomonas sp. RNAcentral describes it as "bacterial SSU rRNA". It matches the Rfam family "Bacterial small subunit ribosomal RNA", at positions 56 to 699 of the family's 1533-position model. The record is from RNAcentral. Lineage: Bacteria; Pseudomonadati; Pseudomonadota; Gammaproteobacteria; Pseudomonadales; Pseudomonadaceae.